This 76-nucleotide transfer RNA is filed under the name Caudoviricetes sp. RNAcentral's name for it is "tRNA-Asn". It matches the Rfam family "tRNA". Rfam says of the family: Transfer RNA (tRNA) molecules are approximately 80 nucleotides in length. Their secondary structure includes four short double-helical elements and three loops (D, anti-codon, and T loops). Further hydrogen bonds mediate the characteristic L-shaped molecular structure. tRNAs have two regions of fundamental functional importance: the anti-codon, which is responsible for specific mRNA codon recognition, and the 3' end, to which the tRNAs corresponding amino acid is attached (by aminoacyl-tRNA synthetases). tRNAs cope with the degeneracy of the genetic code in two manners: having more than one tRNA (with a specific anti-codon) for a particular amino acid; and 'wobble' base-pairing, i.e. permitting non-standard base-pairing at the 3rd anti-codon position. Lineage: Duplodnaviria; Heunggongvirae; Uroviricota; Caudoviricetes. The record is from RNAcentral.
AGAUACUUAGCUCAAUUGGUAGAGCAUUCGGCUGUUAACCGAAAGGUUAUAGGAUCAUCCCCUAUAGUAUCCGUUA